Molecule: RNA transcript, 684 nt
Organism: Helianthus annuus (common sunflower)
Lineage: Eukaryota; Viridiplantae; Streptophyta; Magnoliopsida; Asterales; Asteraceae
Exons: 3
Source: RefSeq, a predicted model, not a curated record
GUAUGACCAGGAAGGGGAAAAACAAGGGUUCCAUCCUUGUUCAAGCUAAAAACCCCAAAUUGAGGAUCAAUUCAAGACCAAAUCAAUGCAUGAACAUGUAUAAACGAUCACCAAGUCAAGAGGAUCGAAAGUUUGACGCUUAACGAGCUAGGUGGCGGCUUGGGAAAAGAAGCGAGUCAAAUGGAUCGGGUGCGCGGAAAAGAGCAUAACCGGAUGCAAUGUGAACCAAGUAAUCAUUUGGAUGAAGAUCAAGCAUGGAAAAAGAACCGAACACACUAAAAUGAAGCUUCCGCAAGUUGUGCCGUCGUUAUUUUUAAAUGACGAAUUUAAUUACCUUAUGUAGUAGUACUUUAAAUUGUAAAAGUUUCUAGUAAACCCGUAUUUUAUAAGUAAGUGUAUUCUUAAGUACACACUAAUUUGUAGUUAUUAGUACAAAAACCGUUUUAUAAUAGUAAGGGUGUUACAUAAAAUCCCGGUUUCACUACAUUCGAGAAUGUGUUGAUCGUGAAGAUAUCGUGGUCGAGCAUGUUAGUGGCAUUGAUCAAAAGGCGGAUAUUUUGACGAAGGCUCUUGGGAAGAUCAAGUUCAAGGAGAUGACUGAAAAGCUUGGAGUUGAAGACUUGUCAGAUACGAGUUCGAAAUUCCGGGGGUGAUUGUUGGAAAUUUCGAAUUAAAGGUUCCUUU